Anolis carolinensis (green anole) is the source of this 83-nucleotide microRNA precursor. Ensembl annotates it as aca-mir-5459. The record is from Ensembl. Lineage: Eukaryota; Metazoa; Chordata; Lepidosauria; Squamata; Anolidae.
CUGGGAAUCUCUAGACCCUCCAGCAGAACUCUUAUGGGGGAAAUUGAUCACGGAGUCCUACUGGAGGACUUAGAGAUUUCUGG